GAAAUGCGAUAAGUAGUGUGAAUUGCAGAAUUCAGUGAAUCAUCGAAUCUUUGAACGCACAUUGCGCCCCUUGGUAUUCCAUGGGGCAUGCCUGUUCGAGCGUAAUUUGUACCCUCAAGCUCUGCUUGGUGUUGGGUGUUUGUCCCGUCUCCGCGCGUGGACUCGCCCCAAAGUGAUUGGCAGCCGGCGUACUGGUCCCGGAGCGCAGCACAUGUCGCGCAAACGAGUGCCUUGGUACGGCGGCGUCCAUAAGCCCCUCUCUCACGCUCUUGACCUCGGAUCAGGUAGGGAUACCCGCUGAACUUAAGC
Molecule: unclassified non-coding RNA, 309 nt
Filed under: plant metagenome
Description: partial contains 5.8S ribosomal RNA, internal transcribed spacer 2, and large subunit ribosomal RNA
Rfam family: 5.8S ribosomal RNA (bases 1-105)
Source: RNAcentral